RNAcentral lists this ribosomal RNA (1581 nucleotides) under Triticum aestivum (bread wheat). Its description in RNAcentral is "partial small subunit ribosomal RNA". Lineage: Eukaryota; Viridiplantae; Streptophyta; Magnoliopsida; Poales; Poaceae. The record is from RNAcentral.
AUGCUGGGCGUGAUGCAAAUCAACCUCCGCUGCCAGGAUCCCUUCCCAUCUUCUGCAGAGCGCAUCAGAUGGCUCCAGAGCGUGGAUGAUUUGCAAAACAAAGAGGGAGAGAUCAAGAUUAGGCUUCACAAGUACAGCCUAUCUUAUUUUAAGAGGUGCUACAUCAGUAGGGAAGCCUAUAGGGAGCUCAACAAAGCCAAUGAACUCAUCAGCCAAGGCGACAAAUUAAUGCCAGAGGUAAAGGCAAGCCCACGUCCUGUCCGCCAUGUCCAGCCACAAGAGCUGCGAGCUCCAUUGCCGGGGAUGGAGGGCUCGUAUAAGAAGGUGCUCGAUUUCAUUAAGGACAAUAAUGCAGAGUCUGCAUUGCUUGGGGUUUGGGGCAUGGGAGGCGUGGGCAAGACAACCCUUAUCAAUCUGGUAAGUGAUUCUCGUUCGAAGUAUCAUGAUGAUUUCGCCGAAGUACUGUUUGUUCAAGCUGGCAAGGGAUGCUCUACAAUUGCUGAUUUGCAAAAGGCUAUCGCCACUAGUAUAGCAUUACCUCAGAUAGGCAACCAAAUUUCCCAAGCAAAUAUCAUUCAUAACCACCUCAGGGAUAAGAGCUUCUUAUUGUUGGUGGAUGAUCUAUGGGAGGAUCUUAAUCUGGACGAACUAGGCAUCCCCUCGCUUGAUGUAGUACAGCCACACCGGCGUAAAGUUGUGUUCACAACUAGAAGCAUGUGCGUGUGUAGCAAGAUGGGAUGCUGCUGCCCUGAGGAUACCAUCCAAAUGAAGUGCUUGAGUAAACAAGACGCAUGGAAUCUCUUUGCUCAGAAGGUGGGAAGUGAAAUCUUUGAUGAUAAGAAAAUUCAUAAUCUUGCGAAAGAGAUAGUUGAGGAGUGCAACGGCUUACCAAUGGCUUUAUGCACACUCGGUAAAUUUAUGUCGCCCAAGAAAGAUCACAGGGAAUGGAGAACCGCCAGAGAUCUGCUGAGGAAUUCAAAACUCCAUGAAAUCACUGAUACCCAUGAAGAUUUAUUCAAACAUCUACAAGAAAGUUAUAAUAAUCUGACAGCUGUUAUGAAGAAGCGUUUUUUGUUAUGUUCUUUAUGGCCUGAAAAUAAGAACAUACCAAUGAAGAUACUUAUAAGGUGGUGGAUAGGACUUGGUUUGUUAAAUGGUCCUAAUGCCAGUGAUGUGGGCUAUACCCUCAUUAAUGACUUAGUGCGUGCAUCCAUGUUGGAAAAAGGUGACACUAGCAUUGACUCCACAGAAAAUUCACAUGUCAAGAUGCACACCAUGAUGCGACUGAUGGCUAUCUGGAUUGCGAAUGAACAUGGAUACAAGACCAAGUUGUUACAAAAUUCCCCAUAUAGAGCACCCUUGGCCCAAGAGAUGUGGCACACUGUGGAGAAGGCUUGGGUAUCAGAGGAAGACACAUCAAGAUGGUGUCAAUGGUCUUCCAACGUUUGUUUCCCAGAACUCAAGGUGUUGGUGGCUCAACAUGUCUUCUCGCUUAAACUCAUUCAUUACUUCCAAAAUAUAACCUUUUUAAACUUGGAGGGGAAGGAAAUAAUCGAUUGCCUUUUGAGGUAUGCUCAUUGA